GACGAACGCUGGCGGCGUGCUUAACACAUGCAAGUCGAACGGAAAGGCCCUGCUUUUGUGGGGUGCUCGAGUGGCGAACGGGUGAGUAACACGUGAGUAACCUGCCCUUGACUUUGGGAUAACUUCAGGAAACUGGGGCUAAUACCGGAUAGGAGCUCCUGCUGCAUGGUGGGGGUUGGAAAGUUUCGGCGGUUGGGGAUGGACUCGCGGCUUAUCAGCUUGUUGGUGGGGUAGUGGCUUACCAAGGCUUUGACGGGUAGCCGGCCUGAGAGGGUGACCGGCAAAAAUGGGACUGAGAUACGGCCCAGACUCCUACGGGAGGCAGCAGUGGGGAAUAUUGCACAAUGGGCGGAAGCCUGAUGCAGCAACGCCGCGUGCGGGAUGACGGCCUUCGGGUUGUAAACCGCUUUCGCCUGUGACGAAGCGUGAGUGACGGUAAUGGGUAAAGAAGCACCGGCUAACUACGUG
This 468-nucleotide ribosomal RNA is filed under the name uncultured bacterium. Its description in RNAcentral is "partial 16S ribosomal RNA". It matches the Rfam family "Bacterial small subunit ribosomal RNA", at positions 28 to 507 of the family's 1533-position model. The record is from RNAcentral.